AUGAACAUUGCCCUCCUGACUCGUUGGCUCUGGCGCAUUGCUAAUGGAGAUGGAGGUCUCUGGCUUACUAUCAUCCAGAACAAGUACCUGCGUGGGCAGCCUCUCGCAUUUUGUCAGCGCUGAGGCGGCUCCCAGUUUUGGCAGGCCGUCGUCCAGCUGCUGCCUGUUCUGCGCAUUGGCACAUCCAUUUCGGUGGGUACUGGGUCCUCGACCCUGUUC
RNAcentral lists this ribosomal RNA (219 nucleotides) under Triticum aestivum (bread wheat). RNAcentral describes it as "partial small subunit ribosomal RNA". The record is from RNAcentral. Lineage: Eukaryota; Viridiplantae; Streptophyta; Magnoliopsida; Poales; Poaceae.